GAUGAACGCUGGCGGCGUGCCUAAUACAUGCAAGUCGAGCGAAUGGAUUAAGAGCUUGCUCUUAUGAAGUUAGCGGCGGACGGGUGAGUAACACGUGGGUAACCUGCCCAUAAGACUGGGAUAACUCCGGGAAACCGGGGCUAAUACCGGAUAACAUUUUGAACCGCAUGGUUCGAAAUUGAAAGGCGGCUUCGGCUGUCACUUAUGGAUGGACCCGCGUCACAUUAGCUAGUUGGUGAGGUAACGGCUCACCAAGGCAACGAUGCGUAGCCGACCUGUGAGGGUGAUCGGCCACACUGGGACUGAGACACGGCCCAGACUCCUACGGGAGGCAGCAGUAGGGAAUCUUCCGCAAUGGACGAAAGUCUGGCGGAGCAACGCCGCGUGAGUGACGAAGGCUUUCGGGUCGUAAAACUCUGUUGUUAGGGAAGAACAAGUGCUAGUUGAAUAAGCUGGCACCUUGACGGUACCUAACCAGAAAGCCACGGCUAACUACGUGCCAGCCGCCGCGGUAA
This 515-nucleotide ribosomal RNA is filed under the name uncultured bacterium. RNAcentral's name for it is "partial 16S ribosomal RNA". It matches the Rfam family "Bacterial small subunit ribosomal RNA", at positions 28 to 523 of the family's 1533-position model. The record is from RNAcentral.